AGCAGCCGCGGUAAUUCCAGCUCCAAUAGCGUAUAUUAAAGUUGUUGCAGUUAAAAAGCUCGUAGUUGAAUUUCGGGGUUAGUAGGUUGGUCAUGCCUCUGGUAUGUACUGGUCUCACUGAUUCCUCCUUCCUGAUGAGCCGUAAUGCCAUUAAUUUGGUGUUGCGGGGAAUUUGGACUGUUACUUUGAAAAAUUGAGUGUUUAAAGCAAGCUAACGCUUGAAUACAUUAGCAUGGAAUAAUGAAAUAGGACGUUCGAUCCUAUUUUGUUGGUUUCUAGGAUUGACGUAAUGAUUAAUAGGGAUAGUUGGGGGCAUUAGUAUUCAAUUGUCAGAGGUGAAAUUCUUGGAUUUAUUGAAGACUAACUACUGCGAAAGCAUUUGCCAAGGAUGCUUUCAUUAAUCAAGAACGAAAGUUAGGGGAUCGAAGACGAUCAGAUACCGUCGUAGUCUUAACCAUAAACUAUGCCGACUAGGGAUCGGAUGAUGUUAAUUUUUUAAUGACUCAUUCGGCGCCUUAAC
This 520-nucleotide ribosomal RNA is filed under the name uncultured Glomeromycotina. RNAcentral describes it as "SSU rRNA". It matches the Rfam family "Eukaryotic small subunit ribosomal RNA", at positions 569 to 1092 of the family's 1831-position model. The record is from RNAcentral. Lineage: Eukaryota; Fungi; Glomeromycota.